GAUGAACGCUGGCGGCGUGCCUAAUACAUGCAAGUAGAACGCUGAAGGAGGAGCUUGCUCUUCUGGAUGAGUUGCGAACGGGUGAGUAACGCGUAGGUAACCUGCCUGGUAGCGGGGGAUAACUAUUGGAAACGAUAGCUAAUACCGCAUGACAACAGUUAUUGCAUGAUAACUGUUUAAAAGGGGCAACUGCUCCACUACCAGAUGGACCUGCGUUGUAUUAGCUAGUUGGUGAGGUAACGGCUCACCAAGGCGACGAUACAUAGCCGACCUGAGAGGGUGAUCGGCCACACUGGGACUGAGACACGGCCCAGACGCCUACGGGAGGCAGCAGUAGGGAAUCUUCGGCAAUGGACGGAAGUCUGACCGAGCAACGCCGCGUGAGUGAAGAAGGGUGUCGGAUCGUAAAGCUCUGUUGUAAGAGAAGAACGAGUGUGAGAGUGGAAAGUUCACACUGUGACGGUAGCUUACCAGAAAGGGACGGCUAACUACGUG
This 495-nucleotide ribosomal RNA is filed under the name uncultured bacterium. Its description in RNAcentral is "partial 16S ribosomal RNA". It matches the Rfam family "Bacterial small subunit ribosomal RNA", at positions 28 to 507 of the family's 1533-position model. The record is from RNAcentral.